CCAAACACAACAGCAACCUCAACCCCAACACCAACAUCAACAUCGACACCAACAUCAACAAUGACCACAACAACAACGACAACAAAAUCACCACCAUCGUCAUCUUCAGAAAGCAGUGAAUCAUCUUCAUCGGAAAGCAGUGAAUCAUCAGAAGAAUGCAAUACAAAGAGAUAUGGCAGAGGUCGAAGAUACAGACAUUGCAGGAAGGGACAUGGUUCAAGAUGGUGGUAUUGGUGGAGGCGUCGCUGGGGCAGACGAAGGCUUAACAGAUGGAAUCGCUACAGGUACCACAGAAGAUACUGAAAAGGCUGGAAGAACUGGAGAGAGUAAAAUCCAAAUUUAAUUUUGGGGGAAAACCAAAGAAUAAGAAGAACUGUCACAGUGAAGGAAGAUGAUCUGCAGGAAGAAUAUUUUAUGACUGAAAAUUUAAUUUUAAGAUAUUGUGGAUCUUUAAUUAUCAGUAGUUUACUGUGUAUUUGCUAUUACUGUAAUGGUAUAAGAUAAUUCAAUAUAAUUCUUGUUCAUUAUCACUGCACAGCACAAUCUGAAUGAAUUAAAUAUGAUAUAUUCCAUAGUAGGUGUUGAUGUUGAAUAUUGAAUUUUUGUGUCAUUGGGACUCUUUCAAUUUCAUAUACGUGUAUUUGCCUGUUGGUGUCAUGAGAGAAUCUAUUACACAUGAUCUGAGUUAAUAGUUUCCUGACAAUAAAUGAGACUGAAUCAGAA
Non-coding RNA from Chiloscyllium plagiosum (whitespotted bambooshark), 723 nucleotides. Lineage: Eukaryota; Metazoa; Chordata; Chondrichthyes; Orectolobiformes; Hemiscylliidae. The record is from RefSeq and is a predicted model, not a curated record.